UGAGGAAUUUUGCGCAAUGGGAGCAAUCCUGACGCAGCAACGCCGCGUGGGUGAGGAAGGUUUUCGGAUUGUAAAGCUCUGUCGAGCGGAAAGAAAUGCAUUAUGGCUAAUAUCCAUAAUGCUUGACGGUACCGCUAAAGGAAGCACCGGCUAACUCCGUGCCAGCAGCCGCGGUAAUACGGGGGAUGCAAGCGUUAUCCGGAUUUAUUGGGUCUAAAGGGUCUGUAGCCGGCCGGAUAAGUCUCUUGAGAAAUCUGGCAGCUUAACUGUCAGGCUUUCAGGAGAUACUGUCUGGCUCGAGGCCGGGAGAGGUGAGAGGUACUUCAGGGGUAGGGGUGAAAUGCGUAGAUAUCUAGAGGAACGCCAGAAGCGAAAGCGGGGCACUGGGCCGAUUCUGACGCUGAGACGCGAAAGCGUGGGGAGCAAACA
This 429-nucleotide ribosomal RNA is filed under the name uncultured prokaryote. RNAcentral's name for it is "bacterial SSU rRNA". It matches the Rfam family "Bacterial small subunit ribosomal RNA", at positions 355 to 774 of the family's 1533-position model. The record is from RNAcentral.